UCCAGCAGAUAGUUUAAUAAAAAUAUUAAUUUUGGAGAUUAAUGAUAAGAUUUUGUCUUUCCGCUGA
Molecule: transfer RNA, 67 nt
Filed under: Ausejanus albisignatus
Lineage: Eukaryota; Metazoa; Arthropoda; Insecta; Hemiptera; Miridae
Description: tRNA-Pro
Source: RNAcentral